CGAACGCUGGCGGCGUGCUUAACACAUGCAAGUCGAGCGGAAAGGCUCCUUCGGGGGUACUCGAGCGGCGAACGGGUGAGUAACGCGUGAGUAAUCUGCCCUUGGCUUCGGGAUAGCCACCGGAAACGGUGAUUAAUACCGGAUACGACACAUCACUGCAUGGUGCGUGUGUGGAAAGUUUUUUCGGCCAGGGAUGUGCCUGCGGCCUAUCAGCUUGUUGGUGGGGUAAUGGCCUACCAAGGCUUCGACGGGUAGCCGGCCUGAGAGGGUGACCGGCCACACUGGGACUGAGACACGGCCCAGACUCCUACGGGAGGCAGCAGUGGGGAAUAUUGGACAAUGGGCGGAAGCCUGAUCCAGCAACGCCGCGUGAGGGAUGACGGCCUUCGGGUUGUAAACCUCUUUCAGCACAGACGAAGCGCAAGUGACGGUAUGUGCAGAAGAAGGACCGGCCAACUACGUGCCAGCAGCCGCGGUAAUACGUAGGGUCCGAGCGUUGUCCGGAAUUAUUGGGCGUAAAGGGCUCGUAGGCGGUUUGUCGCGUCGGGAGUGAAAACACCGGGCUUAACUCGGUGCUUGCUUCCGAUACGGGCAGACUAGAGGCAUUCAGGGGAGAACGGAAUUCCUGGUGUAGCGGUGAAAUGCGCAGAUAUCAGGAGGAACACCGGUGGCGAAGGCGGUUCUCUGGGAAU
This 692-nucleotide ribosomal RNA is filed under the name uncultured Actinomycetes bacterium. Its description in RNAcentral is "bacterial SSU rRNA". It matches the Rfam family "Bacterial small subunit ribosomal RNA", at positions 30 to 736 of the family's 1533-position model. Lineage: Bacteria; Bacillati; Actinomycetota; Actinomycetes. The record is from RNAcentral.